Triticum urartu is the source of this 800-nucleotide non-coding RNA. The record is from RefSeq and is a predicted model, not a curated record. NCBI's taxonomy places the organism in Eukaryota, Viridiplantae, Streptophyta, Magnoliopsida, Poales, Poaceae.
CCGCGGCUGUGGAUGCGUGUUGGACAUCCUGCGGCUUACCCCGGCGCCUACUUGAUGCCCCGAGCUCCCCUCUCUCUCCCUGGUAACCCUAGUCCCCAAAUCCCCUCUCCCUCGCUCAUAUCCGACGACCUGGACGAGGCCGAACUCGCGGUCGUCGUCAUCGUCAUCGAUCCCGCGGCCACCGGUCUCCAUUCGUCGCGCCAAGACGUCAAGGAGCUCCGCCAUCAUCGUCUCCAUCGCCCUUCCCUUUCGGUUGGAGCUCGGACGGCCUGCUGCCUCGCCAUCGCGCGGUCUUCUCCGCCACGGUCGUCGACCCCGUCGUCGAUUCGCGCAUCUCCGGUUCAUCCCCGACCACCUCGAGCUCGCCUAAAGAACCACAAAGGAGUGUUUCUAAACUUCUUGAUAGCGCUUUCCGUGAAAACCUAGACCGUCUUAUCCGGUCAUACACUCGCAAGGUCAUGGUACUCUCUCUUGGAGUAUGAAAGGAACACCUGCGGCAGCAAUCCCUGACUCACGAGAGCAAGGUGAAGAACAACAUAGAGUUGAUGACGAGGAACAUGAAGUUCGUUAUGCUAGGCCUCGUUUAGUGAUUCCACACCCACCUAUUCCUCCUUGUCAGCCAGUAUUUGCAAAGCCAACACGAGUAUUUAUUUGUUUAUUGCUUAAGUUUGCCCUCCCGGGGGAAGGUGCCAUUGCAAUCCCACCUUUUUUUCUCUGAGCCGAUCAAUUUCAUAGGCGGAUAUGUCAACUUGUUUUCUUUGCAAAACUGGAAAAAUCAUAUGGAGAUUUUCUAUGUUUUA